RNAcentral lists this ribosomal RNA (746 nucleotides) under Halorubrum sp. RNAcentral describes it as "bacterial SSU rRNA". It matches the Rfam family "Archaeal small subunit ribosomal RNA", at positions 53 to 800 of the family's 1478-position model. The record is from RNAcentral. Lineage: Archaea; Methanobacteriati; Methanobacteriota; Halobacteria; Halobacteriales; Haloferacaceae.
GCUAGUCGUACGAGUUCAUACUCGUGGCGAAUAGCUCAGUAACACGUGGCCAAACUACCCUUCGGAGCUCCAUACCCUCGGGAAACUGAGGCUAAUAGAGCAUACCACAAUCCAGCUGGAAUGAGGAUUGUGCCAAACGCUCCGGCGCCGAAGGAUGUGGCUGCGGCCGAUUAGGUAGACGGUGGGGUAACGGCCCACCGUGCCAAUAAUCGGUACGGGUCAUGAGAGUGAGAACCCGGAGACGGAAUCUGAGACAAGAUUCCGGGCCCUACGGGGCGCAGCAGGCGCGAAACCUUUACACUGCACGCCAGUGCGAUAAGGGGAUCCCAAGUGCGCAGGCAUAGAGCCUGCGCUUUUGUACACCGUAGGGAGGUGUACGAAUAAGGGCUGGGCAAGACCGGUGCCAGCCGCCGCGGUAAUACCGGCAGCCCGAGUGAUGGCCGAUCUUAUUGGGCCUAAAGCGUCCGUAGCUGGCCGCACAAGUCCAUCGGAAAAUCCACCCGCCCAACGGGUGGGCGUCCGGUGGAAACUGUGUGGCUUGGGACCGGAAGGCGCGACGGGUACGUCCGGGGUAGGAGUGAAAUCCCGUAAUCCUGGACGGACCGCCGAUGGCGAAAGCACGUCGCGAGGACGGAUCCGACAGUGAGGGACGAAAGCCAGGGUCUCGAACCGGAUUAGAUACCCGGGUAGUCCUGGCCGUAAACAAUGUCUGUUAGGUGUGGCUCCCACUACGAGUGGGUGCUGUG